GUGAUUGUAGCUCAGUUGGUUAGAGCGCUGGACUGUGACUCCGGAGGUCGCGGGUUCGAGCCCCGUCAAUCACCCCA
This 77-nucleotide transfer RNA is filed under the name soil metagenome. It matches the Rfam family "tRNA". Rfam says of the family: Transfer RNA (tRNA) molecules are approximately 80 nucleotides in length. The record is from RNAcentral.